GAUGAACGCUGGCGGCGUGCCUAAUACAUGCAAGUCGAGCGAACAGACGAGGAGCUUGCUCCUCUGACGUUAGCGGCGGACGGGUGAGUAACACGUGGAUAACCUUCCUAUAAGACUGGGAUAACUUCGGGAAACCGGAGCUAAUACCGUAUAAUAUAUUGAUCCGCAUGGUUCAAUAGUGAAAUACGGUUUUGCUGUCACUUAUAGAUGGAUCCGCGCCGCAUUAGCUAGUUGGUAAGGUAACGGCUUAUCAAGGCAACGAUGCGUAGCCGACCUGAGAGAGUGAUCGGCCACACUGGAACUGAGACACGGUCCAGACUCCUACGGGAGGCAGCAGUAGGGAAUCUUCCGCAAUGGGCGAAAGCAUGACGGAGCAACGCCGCGUGAGUGAUGAAGGUCUUCGGAUCGUAAAACUCUGUUAUUAGGGAAGAACAAAUGUGUAAGUAACUAUGCACGUCUUGACGGUAACUAAUCAGAAAGCAACGGCUAACUACGUG
RNAcentral lists this ribosomal RNA (497 nucleotides) under uncultured bacterium. RNAcentral describes it as "partial 16S ribosomal RNA". It matches the Rfam family "Bacterial small subunit ribosomal RNA", at positions 28 to 507 of the family's 1533-position model. The record is from RNAcentral.